GAGACGGGUUAGGAUAGUAGGAAAUGGACCAGUUUUUUUAAUUCCCUGAGUUCAUAAUUUUGUAAGUGGUUUGCCAACUCCUUAAUUUAAUAAAAUUAGUUUAGGACUUUGUGAGCAUGGGCGCUGCAUGUUUACAACAAAACAAUUUUGAAGUUGAAAAACCUAACCCACUUAUGUAAUGUAUUAAACCUUAAAGACAGCUCAACCUCUAAUAAUAAUCUUAUUAAAUUAAACCAUAACAAAUUAAAUAAUGCAGACACAAAAGCACAACUAUCGUCACACGAAGGAAUUCACGAUUAAUACAAUGUAUAUAUGUCGGUAAAAAGAUCUGUAGUAGCAAGCAAUUCAUCACACUAUAUAAUCUGUCAUAUCUACCGUGCACUGCACUGCUAGGUAU
RNAcentral lists this long non-coding RNA (397 nucleotides) under Malus domestica (apple). RNAcentral describes it as "long non-coding RNA (MDOM_LNC013458)". The record is from RNAcentral. Lineage: Eukaryota; Viridiplantae; Streptophyta; Magnoliopsida; Rosales; Rosaceae.